This 489-nucleotide ribosomal RNA is filed under the name Staphylococcus aureus. Its description in RNAcentral is "bacterial SSU rRNA". It matches the Rfam family "Bacterial small subunit ribosomal RNA", at positions 202 to 680 of the family's 1533-position model. The record is from RNAcentral. Lineage: Bacteria; Bacillati; Bacillota; Bacilli; Caryophanales; Staphylococcaceae.
AAAGACGGUCUUGCUGUCACUUAUAGAUGGAUCCGCGCUGCAUUAGCUAGUUGGUAAGGUAACGGCUUACCAAGGCAACGAUGCAUAGCCGACCUGAGAGGGAGAUCGGCCACACUGGAACUGAGACACGGUCCAGACUCCUACGGGAGGCAGCAGUAGGGAAUCUUCCGCAAUGGGCGAAAGCCUGACGGAGCAACGCCGCGUGAGUGAUGAAGGUCUUCGGAUCGUAAAACUCUGUUAUUAGGGAAGAACAUAUGUGUAAGUAACUGUGCACAUCUUGACGGUACCUAAUCAGAAAGCCACGGCUAACUACGUGCCAGCAGCCGCGGUAAUACGUAGGUGGCAAGCGUUAUCCGGAAUUAUUGGGCGUAAAGCGCGCGUAGGCGGUUUUUUAAGUCUGAUGUGAAAGCCCACGGCUCAACCGUGGAGGGUCAUUGGAAACUGGAAAACUUGAGUGCAGAAGAGGAAAGUGGAAUUCCAUGUGUAGCG